RNAcentral lists this unclassified non-coding RNA (383 nucleotides) under Hevea brasiliensis (rubber tree). The record is from RNAcentral. Lineage: Eukaryota; Viridiplantae; Streptophyta; Magnoliopsida; Malpighiales; Euphorbiaceae.
UAUCCCAAGACUCAUCUGUCAUCACAUAAAGCUAGAUUUGUUUCAUAGCUAGUGCUUAUAAUGGAAAUGGCUGAAGAGGCUGCGUUAGGAACCGCUUUUGGACUUCUAAUUCAAGCAAUUCUGACUGCAAAAGAAAAGGCAAUUUUCUUCAGGAAAACCCUUCAAAAUCUCCAGGACACGAUUGAGAAGGUGGAUCCGAUCAUUCGCGAAGUCCUGAGGUUGGAAAAUGCUCCUACUGAUGCAUGCAGUAGGUUUGUCCAGCUGUUGGAGAAAGCAAAGAUGCUUGUUGAAAUGUACUCGGACAUGAAGAAGUGGAAGCUUCUCAAGAAGCGGAAAGUCAAGAAGCUGAUUCAAGAAAUCGAAGCUUCUGUUCAAAGGCUUAU